This 8073-nucleotide long non-coding RNA is filed under the name Capsicum annuum. Its description in RNAcentral is "long non-coding RNA (CANN_LNC002425)". The record is from RNAcentral. Lineage: Eukaryota; Viridiplantae; Streptophyta; Magnoliopsida; Solanales; Solanaceae.
GGAGGCGUAGUUUUCUUAAGGUUGUAAUAUUGGUAUUAGAGCCACCCAUCACACUCCGUCGCGGGAGCUGUGCACCUGACUUGGAAAGGGCUACUUAGGAAAGAGCUAUCUAGAAAAGUAAGUGAAAGCUACCCACUUGAAAAGGGCCUUCCAUGCCCACCAUGCCUGGGAUGGUGACGUUGAUAUGACAGUGUUCGGCCGGGGAAAGUAAUGUAUAGUGCACAAUCGUCGCAACAUCUGUGCACCUGACUCGAAACCUGAGACGAUGAAACCAUCCGAUCAAACGAUGAGACGUCUUGAAUUUAGUCAAAAAAACAUCAAGUACAAGGGCAGGCUUUCUCUCUUCCCAAACCACACGCGUCUUUUCCUUUCAUUACCCAAAAUGCACAAAGAAACCAUCCAUCUUUCACUCUCUCUCCAUCUUCCUCAUCUACUCUAUACCCAAAAUCAAAACCACAAUCCACCAUAUCUUACCAUCCGCCUGCACUACAAGGAUUCAUCCUAUUUUCAGCCUUUCCAAUCCGCUACUUCAAUAAAUCAACGAAAAUCAGUUCCCAAUCGGUGAUACAACGAAAUUAGAUUUCAAAUCCAUGUUAAAGACACAAAAAUCGUCCAAAAUCGUGAAGUGAGUUGUCUUUUUCAACUUUUUGAAUUUCAAAUACAUCCCUUUGAUUUGGCCGUUGGUUUCCUUGAAUUUUGGUUUCAAAUUCGGACUUUCAAGUCCGGAUUUGCAUAUAAAUACCUACGGUUUUACCUAUUUCGAAGGGGGGGCGGGGGGGGGGGGGGGGGGGAGAGAAGUUUUUUAGAAGGAGAGACAGAGGGGGAACACUCGAAAAUUGGGGAAUAUUCACACAAAUUCACAAACAAAGUCACAAAAUCAGAAGUUUUGUUUCUUCUUUUCGGUCUAGGUUCGGGCUCCCGGAGUUUGAGUUGGAUAGCUGGAAAAUCUUGGCAUCGAAGCCCCAUCUUGCUGCCCCAUAAAAGUUUCAACGGAAACUCGGUUUUGACCCAAAGUUUGGGUCGAUGGGUAUAGGAUCACAGAGUUCGGGGUCUAAAUUGCUAGGAGCCAAUUUGCUUCCAUAGGAAUUGAUAGUAUCCCAUCCUUUACCUUUCUCAUGACUUUCUUAUUCACGUUUGUUUCAUUAACUUUGUGUCAUUUUGAUAAUUUAUUUUAUAUGUCUUUGAUUGAAACCGAUAUCACUUAACUUUGUUUAGUUUUGUUCGAACUUUAAACCACCUAGAAUUGAUUUUAUUCGGUCAUUUUUUAUUCGUCAUUCAUAAAUAUAAUAACGGUAUAUAGUUCAACCACUUAUUUUUAUAAUUUUGCACCUACGAAUCUACCUUUAUAAUAAAUGGCAAACUCUGCUUUUUAUAAUUACAAUAUGGAAUACAUCUCUGAUUGAACAAAACAACUGGUUAUUAUUUUCGAUUUGCAAAAUAUUAAUUAACGGUUUUGUCACCUUAUCCAGAGUAUUGUUUUCCAAAUGAAUCAACAUAAGUAUUAAAUAGGUUUCAUUUAUUCCAUCCGCCAUGUUUGCAAGUAAAUAAUCCACCAACAUCGAUUUUUUCAUUCAACGCUGUAUAAUUUAAACACCUACUACAGGUCAUAUCUGCUUCUCAACUCUAUUUCAAAUUUUCAGAUUUUAAAGGCUUUCUGAACACAAGAUAUAUAUAUAUGUUAUACACUACCACAUACAAGGUAUAUUUUACUACUAUCAUUAUAAUUGCUAUUACUAUAAUAUUACCACUUACAUUAUUAUUAUCAUUGUUAUUAUUUUCACUUUAUUAUACCUAUGUAGGCUACUAUCACAUUUAUGUUUACCUUAGUUCAAUUUAAAUCUAUUCGGGUUGCACAAGCGAAAAGAAUUUUAUACCUUUUCAUACAUUUCUAAAUCCUCAUGCAUUUAUAUUUAUUUUAAAUAAAUUUUUUCACACUUCAAAAGUAUACUUUAUUUACCUUGUAAUGAAUUUUAUUCACGUAUUUAACUUUGCAAAGUCAUAAGAUCUUAUACUCGCUACUUUACAUAUUAUAACAACAGAAGCUACUACUCUCUCUCAUAAUUUUUCAAAAUAUUCAUUUAUUUAUAACUAUAUUAUUUCGUUGUAUGUGAUAGUGUUACAUCUUUAUGUGCCUUGACUACUAUUUUUUAAAAUUUAUUUAUUUAUUUAUUUAUUUUUUAAAAAAUGAUGACGGUUUUCUUAUCAAUUUUAACAAAUAACUAAGGCAAAAUAUUCUCCAAAUAUUUCUAAAGCUAAGUUUAAGGACUAUCUUCGGAUAGGCUCUCUUAGUAGUUAGUUUUUGGGGUGUGGUUUUCUUAAGGUUGUAAUAGUGGUAUCAAAGCCACCUAUUACCCUCCGUGCCCACCCUUCCUGGGAUGGUGACUCUGGUAUGUUAGUGUUCGGCCAGGGCUAGUAAUGUCUAGCGUACAACCAUCAUAGCACCUAUGCACCUGACUCGAAAAGGGAUACAUAGGAAAGAGCUACCUAGAAAAGAAGAUAGCUGGCUUUUGGGGUGUGAUUUUCAUAAGGUUGUAAUGGUGGUAUCAGAGCCACCCAUCACCCUCCAUGCCCAUUGUGCCUGGGAUGGUGACGCCGGUAUGACAGUGUUCGGUCGGGGUUAGUAAUGUCUAGCGCACAAACGUCGCGGAAAUUGUGCACCUGACUCGAAAGAGCUACCUAGAAAAGUAGAGUGAAAUCUACAUGUCGAGGAUAAAGGAUGCGAAAUGUGGUGGUUUGUUAUGAUCCGUUGCAAAAAGUCCCACAUUUGUACUACAAAGUAUCUGUGUGCAGUAUUUAUAGCCUUGGGUUCUCCACCUUAAGAGAUGGCUUUUGGGGUGUGGUUCUCGUAAGGUUGUAAUAGUGGUAUCAGAGCCACCCAUCACCGUGCAUGGGUUGGUGACGCCGCUAUGGAAGUGUUCAGCGGGGGCUAGUAAUGUCUAGCACACAACCGUUAUGGCGCCUGGGCACCUGACUCAAAAAAGGCUAUCUACAAAAGUAGAGUGAAAACUACCCAGAGUGGAGCCGCCGAGUAGAGUGAAAACUACCCAAGAGUGGAGCCGUCGAGGAUGAAGGAUAUGGUUUGUUAUGACCCAUUGCAAGAAGUCCCACAUAGUUACUUGUCAGUAGUAACUGCAAACGUCUAGGUUGAACAAUAUAUGAACAAACAUUAGGUAGGCGUUUGGCCGUGAAAACAAAAAAUAAUUAACCUUAUUUGGAAUUUUCAGAGUUAGAGUUGUAUUACACAUUUACAAUUUAAGCAUAUUUUUUUCUUCUUUCUCGCGGUCGCUACUCAUUCGCUAUUUGUUCAACUCUUUUUUGCUGAGUUAUUCAAACACAAAAUCAUUCUUUUGCUUCAGCGACUGUUAUGCCAAUACCAUGACUCAACAAUAUGUGUAUCGAGCAAACUUGGUUUUGAAUAGGUGGACCAAUAAUGCGAUGAAACUUAACAUGCCUCCAUUGCUCAAUCGUACGCACAUCAUUCUAUAAAUAUAGCCAUUCAUAAUCAAAAUACUACAUUGAAGUCCACCAGAUGAACGAUAAGUACCUAAUUGUUCCUACUAACAAAGCAAGUCUAGUAUAAAACCUUUUUGCCGAGGGAGCUUGGAGUCUAGUGCAACAACUCGACCCCUCGUUUUGAGCAUCUGUGUACAUAGAGACGAGCAGACAACCUUCGCAUCAACUGGAGCUUCAUUUGCGGAUACCAACACCAGCGCAGAGCAGACGGUCUUUCUUGCUAUUGUCUAUCCUAUAUAUUUUGUGAGAGUAUCGAAUUGCCAGUGUCUUGCAUAUGCAAAGAUCUUCCGGUCCAACCUUCGAAAUUGUUCUCUUGAGCUUGUUUUCGGGAUCAUCACGACACAGAAACACCCCUAAAGAAGUAAUCCUGAAAGAAAAAGCAGGCAAAAACGGAUUACAAAGUGAGUAAUCGAAUAAACAUACUAGACCUCACCCCUACCGUAGAGGUAGAAGGCUAUUUCUGAUAGACCGUCACAAAUUUUCUUCUCACAGACUAAAGGAAAAAACUAUCGAGAGAUUGAUAUAUAACUUUUUUUGUCGAUCUUACUCAUCGAGGAGAAUUUGUUUCCAGAAAUUUGUUGACGGUACAAAACACAUACAGCAUUCAGACAAAGCUCGUCAUCCGUAUAAAAUGCAGAACGAAAAUCGUCUUCAGAUGACCAUUCUAUACCCGACCUAUCCCCGGGAUUAACCAAUUCUGGAAUAAAUGAUGUCAUUUGACCAUCAUUCGCGCUUCUUUUUCUCUUUCGCGUCGAAUUAGAGGAGCCUUUCACGUGCACUUCCUUUUUCUGUCCGCGACUUUUUGAAGCACGAGCAAUUUCAGUUAACGUCAGUUCAUCAUCACUAUCGUUCAUUGUAUGAACCAGCAUAGUUUCUGGUUCGUCUGACGCUUCACUCAAGACUACUGCUUUACAUGCUGAUGGAUCUGCAAGAAGAUUAUAUGCAAUAACAUCUUAAAUUUUCCUCUUUUAAUCUGAUGCACGAAACUUAUCUGUCCAAUAAAAGUACGAUAGCCGCCAAUCUAAGUCACACAAAAACAACAACUUACCAAGUAUAAUCCUCAUGUACACUGACCUUACCUCUAUCUUUUGCGAUAGAGAGGCUGUUUAAGAUAGUUCCUUGGUUCAAAAGAAAGAAAAAUGAAUCACGUUUGCAUAAAAACACGACAAUAUCCUAGUAGGAUACAAAGCAAUUAAAAGGGGAAACCAAGAGAGACGAGAAAGGAAAAAACUAACUGCAGCAAAGUGGCUAAAUGGACACAACGUGUAACAGUGGAUGUAGCAAGUGUUUGUCGGAAUUGCUUUCUACUCGAGAAUCUAGUGUUUCUUUUUUCAUUUUUCGUGUGUGUCUGUGUGGUUGUGGUGGUGUUAUUUUCAGUAUAUCAUGAAGCAUCAUCAGAAAAUAUCAUACCUAUAACCGUUUAACAGAACAACACUAACUACUAUACCGCAAUCCAACGAGUUGACGUCGGCUAUAUGAAUCCUAAUGAAAUAUCCACAUAAUACAAACAGAUCGUAACAACAAGAAGUUGCCUAAAUCAGAAAACCGUUAUACCUUUCUGUCUCGAUUGGCCAUUGCUAUUUCCGGUUGAGGUGCUAACAAGUUUCAGAUCAUCCAAAAUCACGAUUGCCCGAUCUUCUCCCUGAGUAGAUUCCACGUUAUUAGCGCCAUUCGCACCAGUAGCUUGAAUGCCUAUUUCCACCUCCAAAUCUAUAGCAAAUUUUCAGAAAACACACACAUCAAGAUAACGAAUUUUCCAAAUUAGUUAAAUAAUUGAAUGCGACAAAUAACUAAAACAGGUUUUGCAAAUGUAGUAAAAUCAAGAUAUACUAUCAACACACAUUAUGAAAUGAUACGUAAAAAGACAUAAAAGGGCAUCCCGGUGCACUAAAGCUACCGCUAUGCGCGGUGUUCGGGGAAGGAUCCCACCACAAGGGUAUAUCGUACGCAGCCUUACCUUGCAUUUCUGCCAGAGACUGUUUCCAAGGCUUGAACCUGUGACCUCCUGAUCACAUGACAACAACUUUACCAGUUACGCCAAGACAUAAUAACAACAAUACCUUCAUCAUUUUUUCUCUCAUUUUCCACCAUAAGAGAAACUUCAUCCCUCAACUCUCUCAGUUUCUCCGCGUAGCAAGCCACGCUUUCACUUUUCGUGUUCUGAUAAAGAAAUGGACCUUGGGCCUAACUCAACCUCAAAAGCUAGCUCAUACGGGGAGGAUUGCCCAAGACCCUAUAAGGAGACCAAGGACCCUUUAACCCACCGAUGUGGGACUCCAACACCCCCCCUACGCCCAUGGCUGGACAUCUGGAGCGUGGAAAAUAUAAGAUAGGGGGCCCAACAUCGGAAACAAUAAACUGGGUGGGCCUGGCUCUAAUACCAUGAUAAAAAAAUGGACCUUGGUCCUAACUCAACCUCAAAAGGUAGCUCAUGAGGAGGAGGAUUGCCCAAGCCUUAUAAAGAGACCACCCAUCUCAUUAACCACCAAUGUGGGACUUUCUCUAUUUCUUUUAACACCCCACUGCAUGCCUAGACCUCAACUGGGCCCAGAACUAAACUGGGCGUGGACACAAUCUCCCCGAUAUCUCAAUUCGAGGGCCAAAAGUUGGGUGAGAAUGGACCCUGCUUUGAUACCAUGUUAAAAUUGGUCUUGGGCCUAACUCACACCUCAAAAGCUAGCUCAUGAGGGGAGAAUUGCGCAAGACCAUUGUAACACCCCGUAAAAUUCGUGCAUGUGUUAGCCUCUAGUAGUAUGCUCAAAGAGUUGAAAGGACUUGAAAAUUUUUGUAAGUGUUAAAGAGACUUAGUCUUAUUUUUUUUAGCUUCUAAACUUUGAGAAAUUUAUUUUCGACCUUUCCGACCUUCGAUUUUAAAUUUUCUUGUUGAUUCAUGAUCGGGGAAGUUGAUGGUGCAUAUUGAGUGAGUUUCAGCAUUUUUGGAUGUCGUUUAGGGCAUGUUUGGAUGCCCAAAAUAGUGGCAUCAAGUGAUAUGCAUGCGCCACAUGGUCCAAUGCACGGUGGAAGCAUGCGAUAUAGCAUGCGUCACAUGCUUCAGUGCGGUGGGAAAUAGCCUGCGACGCAUGGUCUGCUGCACGCCUGAGAAUUUUCAGCAUUUAAGCUCCGUCUCAUUAAGGGCAUAUUGGGUGUUUUCCCACACCCUUAUCAGCUCAAGCACAAAAUUUCAACCCCAAUUGAGCAUAAUAUUCAUACAUUCACCAAAAUUACUCAAGAAAUCUCUCAAGGGUUUCAAAAUAAAAACCCGAAUUACUUGAGAUUCAACCGUGAGUUUUAGAAGACAAUUAGAGAUUUGGAAUUCCUACUCCGCAAGCUUCAAGAAUCACCCAUUACUUUCUGAAAUAGAGGUACAGGUGUUUUUUCUAAAAUCUCAUGGGUAUUGAAAUCAUGGUUUUAAGAAAGAGGUUUUUAGAUUUAUGAAUAUAUUCAUAUUUUAGAAACAUUAAUGAUAUUGUUUUGGCCUUUAGGCCUUCCCCAAAUUGAUUUGAAUCGAUAUAUGUAUAUAUGUACAUGUUUUAAUUUUGAUGAUUGAAUUAAGAGCAUGAUUCAUGUGAAAAUCCCUCUCUUGUUAUGAUUUUCCGUACUUAUCAUAUGAUAUGGGUUGUUUUUGAAAGGCAUCUUGAAAAACAUUUUACGAAGUAUCUUAAUUUAUGAAUGAUUUGGUUCUAAAUCUUGAAUUCCAAAGAGAGGGUUGUUUAUAUUGAAAAAUUUUGAAAAUACAUAUAAUGAAGGAGUGCAUGGAUUUUUCCUAAAGCACAUGACCACCUUAUGGUUGAAGAGUUCUUGCAUAGUUUUGACUUAUGCUUUCGGAACAUGAAACCUCUUAUAACAUUUGCAUGUUUGGGUGGUCUGAACUAUGUUUUAAUGAAAAAAUUAUGCAUGGUGCAUUAUGACUCAGAAAUAGGACUUCCAAGUCUUGGUGUGUCGACACCAAUUCAGAUUAUGUCAUGGUAAUUCAGAAUAGAAUACAAAGCAUGUUUAAAGUUAGAAUUUUCAGAUGUUGAAACUAGAAUAAUGCAUGAUUCAGAACAUGAUAAAAAUUAGGCAUAAAGAGAGCGUAGGUGGUUCCUCGAAGAAGACAUAAGUUCAGACAACUCAUUGCCCAAAGCCGUGAUUUUUCAAUCCGGGUAUAUUUAUUACGCUGGCCUUGUUCUAUGUGGCGUAUCAGAAUCAGAAACUCCAAUCCUUGCGGCACACUCGGGUUGAGGACUUCCCCACCGAGUCAAUGGCGGAUUCCAUACUGCCCAUGGAAUAUUAUAAUUGUAGGGAGUGCCACCUAACUCAAAAUUAAUACGAAGAUCAGAACUGCAUUGUCAAGAAUGAUUUAUGACUUUUUAGAAAAGUGCCCAUGUAUUUUGAAAACUAUUUUAUGUAUGAUGUUUUGACAAAUUGCUCUCUAUUAUUUUAUUUAUAUAAAAGCUUUAUUUUGGAUUACUUUACGUACCAGUACAUCUCUAUUAACCCGUCCCUCCUCCCUCCAGGUUCUGAGGCUCAAUCUAGGGUCCAGAAAAGUAGUAGCAUUUAUCAGACAGAUUUCCAGUGUCC